RNAcentral lists this ribosomal RNA (502 nucleotides) under uncultured bacterium. Its description in RNAcentral is "partial 16S ribosomal RNA". It matches the Rfam family "Bacterial small subunit ribosomal RNA", at positions 30 to 523 of the family's 1533-position model. The record is from RNAcentral.
AUUGAACGCUGGCGGCAUGCCUUACACAUGCAAGUCGAACGGCAGUAUGGGUGCUUGCACCUGAUGGCGAGUGGCGAACGGGUGAGUAAUGCAUCGGAACGUGCCCUGAAGUGGGGGAUAACGUAGCGAAAGUUACGCUAAUACCGCAUAUUCUGUGAGCAGGAAAGAGGGGGAUCGCAAGACCUCUUGCUUUAGGAGCGGCCGCGGUCGGAUUAGCUAGUUGGUGGGGUAAAGGCCUACCAAGGCGACGAUCCGUAGCGGGUCUGAGAGGGUGAUCCGCCACACUGGGACUGAGACACGGCCCAGACUCCUACGGGAGGCAGCAGUGGGGAAUUUUGGACAAUGGGCGCAAGCCUGAUCCAGCCAUGCCGCGUGAGUGAAGAAGGCCUUCGGGUUGUAAAGCUCUUUCGGUGGGGAAGAAAUUGCUUCGGCUAAUAUCCGGAGUAGAUGACGGUACCCGCAUAAGAAGCACCGGCUAACUACGUGCCAGCAGCCGCCGUAA